CGGAGGGUGCGAGCGUUGUUCGGAAUCACUGGGCGUAAAGCGCGUGUAGGCGGCCCAUUAAGUCUGAUGUGAAAGCCCGGGGCUCACCCCCGGAAGUGCAUUGGAAACUGAUGGGCUGGAGUCCCGGAGAGGAGGGUGGAAUUCCUGGUGUAGCGGUGAAAUGCGUAGAUAUCAGGAGGAACACCGGUGGCGAAGGCGGCCCUCUGGACGGUGACUGACGCUGAGACGCGAAAGCGUGGGGAGCAAACAGGAUUAGAUACCCUGGUAGUCCACGCCGUAAACGAUGAGCACUAGGUGUCGCGGGUAUUGACCCCUGCGGUGCCGACGCUAACGCAUUAAGUGCUCCGCCUGGGGAAUACGGCCGCAAGGUUA
RNAcentral lists this ribosomal RNA (372 nucleotides) under uncultured organism. RNAcentral describes it as "bacterial SSU rRNA". It matches the Rfam family "Bacterial small subunit ribosomal RNA", at positions 526 to 896 of the family's 1533-position model. The record is from RNAcentral.